Molecule: ribosomal RNA, 468 nt
Filed under: uncultured bacterium
Lineage: Bacteria
Description: partial 16S ribosomal RNA
Rfam family: Bacterial small subunit ribosomal RNA
Source: RNAcentral
GACGAACGCUGGCGGCGUGCUUAACACAUGCAAGUCGAACGGAAAGGCCCUGCUUUUGUGGGGUGCUCGAGUGGCGAACGGGUGAGUAACACGUGAGUAACCUGCCCUUGACUUUGGGAUAACUUCAGGAAACUGGGGCUAAUACCGGAUAGGAGCUCCUGCUGCAUGGUGGGGGGUGGAAAGUUUCGGCGGUUGGGGAUGGACUCGCGGCUUAUCAGCUUGUUGGUGGGGUAGUGGCUUACCAAGGCGUUGACGGGUAGCCGGCCUGAGAGGGUGACCGGCCACAUUGGGACUGAGAUACGGCCCAGACUCCUACGGGAGGCAGCAGUGGGGAAUAUUGCACAAUGGGCGGAAGCCUGAUGCAGCAACGCCGCGUGCGGGAUGACGGCCUUCGGGUUGUAAACCGCUUUCGCCUGUGACGAAGCGUGAGUGACGGUAAUGGGUAAAGAAGCACCGGCUAACUACGUG